AAUCUCAAGGAAGCACUCGGGGCACCAGGAUUCCCAGCACUUAGCUGGUGGGCAAAGGGGCUCAUCCCCCUCCCCACAUCCCACCUUCCCUCCUCCCAGUCUUCAGGAGUGCGGAGCUCCUGCCGGGAUCCAAGAGCAGGCUCUUGGUAGUCGAAGAAGGAUAUAACCUCCAGACCUGGAAUUUUAAGACGCAAGAACCAGCCAGCAAAUGUGGCAGCCGAGCAUGCGAGGGACCGUGAUGGCUGCUGAAAAAGGAACUGGCUUUUUAUUUGGAAGCUAUGAAACUUGAGGUUCUACUGAAAAGGAGAAGAGGCCGCUGGAGAUUAGGAAGCCAUGAAAAACCUCUCACUGGCAUGGAGCACAGCAAGCAGGUUAGGCUGGCUGGCCAUUGAUCUCCAUCCCAUCUAUCUUUGCCUCCUCGGCACUGGGAUUGCGUACACACCCAAGAGUCUUGGCAUGUUUCUUUAUCAUCUCCGUUUCAAGUUUUAUUUUUAUAAAAGUAAGAUAUUGAAUUUCAUUAGUGUUUAAUCAAGGAAGUUGUAAAGGUUUAAAUAUAUUUUCUGUUUUUAUUCAUCUCCUAGUGCGUUUCAAGUAGAACUUUCUAAGAUUUGAGGGCCAACUGUCAGCUUCACAUGUUUUAAACUGACAUGCAUUUGUCCAGAUUUACAAAGUUCAGCAUAGCAAGUUAAUGCAUGAUAUGUAAUAAGUGAUGAUCCAAUUGAGGUAUUUAGCAUUUCAAUUUCUUCAUUUAUCACUCUAUGCUCUGGGAAGCAUCAAAGUCUUUUAGUUAUUUUGAAGUAUCUCAUGGAUGUUACAGGCAACAAUUAGGUCAUUUCAGCAUGAACCGUAGGGGGAAAAUCCUCCUGUUUAUUGACUAUUGGUAUAUUUCUGUGGGUUGAUGCCUAUUACAUAACCUCUUUGUGGCCACACACCCCUGUCCUUAAUGACCUGUAGUCUAUUCUAUUUUAUGAAGUCAAUUGUUUUAAACCUCCACGAUCAUUG
Molecule: long non-coding RNA, 1002 nt
Filed under: Mus pahari (shrew mouse)
Lineage: Eukaryota; Metazoa; Chordata; Mammalia; Rodentia; Muridae
Description: lncRNA (MGP_PahariEiJ_G0002976.1)
Source: RNAcentral